CAGUGGUAUAAUAGUACACACCUUUUUGCAUUUUCACAACCACAGCCCUCACACACUAACUUUCCCUAGGAUGCCCCCAACACAACAAUCCUCCCACCACAACCCAACCCAGUUCACUUUUUCAGUGUCACAAACAUUUUUUCAAUUUUCAAUAUCUAAAUUUCUCAAAGCCACCCAACGUGUCCCUUAUCUUUCGGCAUUAAUCUUAAAAAACUGCUUCCACUGUUCCUAGUUCCUUCCCACAAUAAUAAUAAUACUUACUGUGCAUUGUUUAACAAGUAGCACUGAAGUUGCAGCUAGCUAGGUAGGACCAACCAACCAAACCCAAAGGGAUAUAUACUAACGUACGCCACAGGGACCGUUAGCUGUGCGGCGCCAAUAUUCGUUGGUGCUCUCUCUCUCUUUCUCUCUUUUCCUCUGUCUUUCUUUCUUUCUUUCUUUCCUUUGAUAUUUUUUUAACUCUUCUUAACUUGUUAUAACCCAACAACACAAACCCAACCUUUUUUGAACUCACAGCACACCCACUGAUCCUACUCUUUGUCUCUCUCAAAAAUGGAUAAUGGGUGUUUCUCUUCCCCUCGACGUGAUUUCCCUGCUGGUCUGCGAGUUCUCGUUGUGGAUGAUGAUCCUACGUGGCUCAAGAUCCUUGAGAAGAUGCUCAAGAAGUGCAAUUAUGAAGUGACUACAUGUUGUUUAGCAAGGCAUGCUCUAAACUUGCUUCGUGAAAGGAAGGAUGGAUAUGAUAUAGUGAUUAGCGAUGUAAACAUGCCUGACAUGGAUGGUUUUAAACUUCUUGAGCAUGUUGGGCUUGAGAUGGAUCUUCCUGUGAUUAUGAUGUCUGUGGAUGGGGAAACAAGCAGGGUCAUGAAAGGUGUUCAACAUGGAGCAUGUGAUUAUCUCCUUAAGCCUAUAAGGAUGAAAGAACUGCGAAAUAUAUGGCAGCAUGUCUUUAGAAAAAGGAUACACGAGGCAAAAGAGUUUGAAAGCUUUGAGAGUUUUGAGAGCAUUCACUUGAUGAGAAAUGGAUCAGAGCUAUCAGAUGAGGGGAACUUGUUUGCUGUAGAAGAUGUGACCUCAACAAAGAAAAGAAAAGAUGCAGAUAACAAACACGAUGACAAAGAAUGUAUGGAUCCAUCAUCUGCCAAGAAAGCUAGAGUAGUCUGGUCUGUAGAUCUUCAUCAGAAGUUUGUUAAAGCUGUGAAUCAGAUUGGAUUUGAUAAAGUUGGGCCCAAGAAAAUAUUGGAUCUGAUGAAUGUUCCAUGGCUGACUAGAGAGAAUGUUGCCAGCCACUUGCAGAAAUACCGGCUUUAUUUGAUUAGGAUUCAGAAAGAAAACGAUCGGAGAUCUUCCUCGAGUGGUAUGAAGCAUUCAGAUUUUCCUUCAAAAGAUCUGGGAAGUUUUGGAUUUCAAAACCCAGUAAACAAGCAACAAAAUGAUGUUUCAACUGACAGCUACAAUUAUUCGGAUGGAUCAUUACAUCUUCCUACCGUGGAAAAUAAAAAUUAUGAAGGCGAUAAGGGAAGUGUUUCACAGUUCACCAUAGCAAAAAAAGGAAGGCCCUUGACUGGUAACGUCACCGACUCAAAUAUGAGAGAGAGUUCAAGGGUUGGCCUCAAUCAACCUUUUGCCCAGUCAGAAGGAAACCAUGCAGUGUUUGAUUGCUCCUUGCCAACACAGUACUCAUGGACUGAAGUUCCAAACAUGCAACUCAAAGAAGAACACAAGUCACUUGUUCAUUUAGAAGAUAGCUUCAAUCAGAUGCCAUUACACGGUAAGCAGCAUCACAUCCAAGUUGAUCAAUCACAGUCAGUUGCUUCAAUUAGUUCAGCUCCCUCUAUAACGGAGGAAGAGGUUCCUGCUUGUAUAGAAGCAAAACCUUUGUUUUCAGAUUUCAAGAAUGAUCGAUCCAGUUCUGUGAAUUCAAUAGGGAAUGCAGUUGACACCUUUCCAAUUCAACCAGGAAGUCUUGCUAUGAAUGCUCAAUCUUUAGAACCCAUUUCAACUACAAAUUCAGGAUUGAAAGCACAUGGAUAUAAUAACCUCAGUUGCAUUUCUGAUGUGGAAAUUUACCAAAGAAACCUUCUUUUGGGAGGUGAGGCAGCUUCUGCACCUUUGGAUGAGGAUUUGCAUUUCCAGUGGCUGCAGGGUGAAUGUUAUAACAUGAACUUCGGUCUGCAGAAUAUAGGAAUGUCAGAAUAUUAUGAUCCAGGGCUUAUUGCAGAAGCUCCAAGUCACUUAUAUGAUUCAGCCGAUUACUCGGUUAUAGAUCAAGGUCUAUUCAUAGCAUGAGCUGCUUUGCCUUUCCUGCAUCUUCAACAAAAAUCAAAAUUCAAUCAUGAAAGGACAAUCUAAUGUUUCUUGUAGCUAACUACAUCUUUGUUGAAGAAUUUCAACCUCAACGGUUGGGGUAUUCUUUUUCCGAUCAUAGAGGAUUUGGAUAUAUUGCAGUAUGUAUAAAAACGAGUGCUGACAAGUAUCGAGGGCUGGCUGAAAAUUCGGAGCCGCGCGCAUCGAUCACGGGAACAACUUUAAAGCGAUUGGUUUAUAAGAAUGGUUUUAGAACCAAGCAAUGUUGGACAAAGAAGCUUAAAGUGAAUUUUGAACAGUACAAGGGUACUAUAUGUUCUAAGCCAUUGUUUUGGAAAAAUUGAACAAAUAUUUCUUAUUAGGUGGAAGUACUACCUUUUGUGUACAGGAUUCAAAUUCCUCAAACGCAAGUUUACGGAAAAAACAUGUCCAUGUCCUCAAUCACAGUUAUAUGAAACUAAAGGUAAUACAUGUGCUAUUAUUUACCUUGAUGUGUAUAUCGCCUAAACCUAAUUUCACAAACUUGGUUAUCUCCAGUGUCAAAAUUUAAUGUGGACUACAAAAAAAAAAAACUACAAAA
Molecule: RNA transcript, 2887 nt
Organism: Vigna angularis (adzuki bean)
Lineage: Eukaryota; Viridiplantae; Streptophyta; Magnoliopsida; Fabales; Fabaceae
Gene name: two-component response regulator ARR11
Exons: 6
Source: RefSeq, a predicted model, not a curated record